GAUGAACGCUGGCGGCGUGCCUAAUACAUGCAAGUCGAGCGAACAGACGAGGAGCUUGCUCCUCUGACGUUAGCGGCGGACGGGUGAGUAACACGUGGAUAACCUACCUAUAAGACUGGGAUAACUUCGGGAAACCGGAGCUAAUACCGGAUAAUAUAUUGAACCGCAUGGUUCAAUAGUGAAAGACGGUUUUGCUGUCACUUAUAGAUGGAUCCGCGCCGCAUUAGCUAGUUGGUAAGGUAACGGCUUACCAAGGCGACGAUGCGUAGCCGACCUGAGAGGGUGAUCGGCCACCCUGGAACUGAGACACGGUCCAGACUCCUACGGGAGGCAGCAGUAGGGAAUCUUCCGCAAUGGGCGAAAGCCUAACGGAGCAACGCCGCGUGAGUGAUGAAGGUCUUCGGAUCGUAAAACUCUGUUAUUAGGGAAGAACAAAUGUGUAAGUAACUAUGCACGUCUUGACGGUACCUAAUCAGAAAGCCACGGCUAACUACGUG
Molecule: ribosomal RNA, 497 nt
Filed under: uncultured bacterium
Lineage: Bacteria
Description: partial 16S ribosomal RNA
Rfam family: Bacterial small subunit ribosomal RNA
Source: RNAcentral